GCUUCCCUAGUCUAUUGCUAAGACCUCUAUUGUGUCAUUUGACAGAGAAGUCGAGGGUUCGAAUCCCUACGGAGGCA
Molecule: non-coding RNA, 77 nt
Organism: Mycena capillaripes
Lineage: Eukaryota; Fungi; Basidiomycota; Agaricomycetes; Agaricales; Mycenaceae
Source: the annotation of a GenBank genome assembly